UGUUUUUUUGAAUGCUAAAAUGCAAUAAACUUUUAAUUUAUUAUUUCAACACUUGUUGAUCUUGCGU
Molecule: transfer RNA, 67 nt
Filed under: Biomphalaria tenagophila
Lineage: Eukaryota; Metazoa; Mollusca; Gastropoda; Planorbidae
Description: tRNA-Lys
Source: RNAcentral